UUCGCAAUGCCCGAAAGGGUGACGAAGCGACGCCGCGUGCGGGAAGAAGGCCUUCGGGUUGUAAACCGCUGUCGGGAGUUAGGAAAUGCAAGGGCGUUAAUAGCGUUCUUGUUUGACUAAGGCUCCGGAGGAAGCCACGGCUAACUCUGUGCCAGCAGCCGCGGUAAUACAGAGGCGGCAAGCGUUGUUCGGAAUUAUUGGGCGUAAAGAGCACGUAGGCGGCCUUGCAAGUCAGUUGUGAAAGCCUUCCGCUUAACGGAAGAACGGCAUCUGAUACUACAGGGCUUGAGUACGGGAGGGGAGAGUGGAACUUCUGGUGGAGCGGUGAAAUGCGUAGAUAUCAGAAGGGACGCCGGCGGCGAAAGCGACUCUCUGGCCCGAAACUGACGCUGAGUGUGCGAAAGCUAGGGGAGCAAACGGGAUUAGAUACCCCGGUAGUCCUAGCCGUAAACGAUGGGCACUAAGUAGAGGGGUUUU
This 477-nucleotide ribosomal RNA is filed under the name uncultured bacterium. RNAcentral describes it as "bacterial SSU rRNA". It matches the Rfam family "Bacterial small subunit ribosomal RNA", at positions 365 to 832 of the family's 1533-position model. The record is from RNAcentral.